GAUGAAGAACGCAGCGAAAUGCGAUACUUGGUGUGAAUUGCAGAAUCCCGUGAACCAUCGAGUCUUUGAACGCAAGUUGCGCCCGAAGCCAUUAGGCCGAGGGCGCGCCUGCCUGGGCGUCACACGUCGUUGCCCCCCCAUCUACUCCUUCGGGAUUGCGGGGGGCGGAUGAUGGCCUCCCGUGCGCCUCGUCGCGCGGUUGGCAUAAAUGCCAAGUCCUCGGCGACGCACGCCACGACAAUCGGUGGUUGCGAAACCUCGGUUGCCCGUCGUGUGCGGUCGUCGCGCAUCGAGGGCUCGAAAAAAUUGCCGGGCUCCGGCUCGGCUUUCAACGCGACCCCAGGUCAGGCGGGGUUACCCGCUGAAUUUAAGCAUAUCAUAAGCGGAGGA
RNAcentral lists this unclassified non-coding RNA (390 nucleotides) under soil metagenome. Its description in RNAcentral is "partial contains 5.8S ribosomal RNA, internal transcribed spacer 2, and large subunit ribosomal RNA". The stretch from base 1 to 122 matches the Rfam family "5.8S ribosomal RNA", at positions 35 to 154 of the family's 154-position model. The record is from RNAcentral.